Non-coding RNA from Danio rerio (zebrafish), 527 nucleotides. The record is from Ensembl. Lineage: Eukaryota; Metazoa; Chordata; Actinopteri; Cypriniformes; Danionidae.
GAUGAAAGAUGUCGUCCUCUGUUGCUGGUGUAUUUGUAUGAAAAAGAGGAAGAGCUCAUCCAGGAGUGCAAUUGUGGUAAUGCAGAGAAAAUUGCUGUCUGCCAGAGGGAUCACCAACCAUGUGGACUUCUGCAUUGUCUUGGACGAUGAGUAAGUCAUGGCCAGUUUGGAAAAUCUGGAAUUGCUUAACUAGAUUUAUACACAUGUUCCCUAAAUUAAAAUCACCCGAAAACAAACUUAACUGACACAAAUUCACUGUUACAAACUUUUGGGGAAUUUUCACAUCAUUGACUGAUUGUGUUGCUAAUAUUUUGAGAUACAGCUUUUAUACUGGUUUUAUAUGUUGUGCAAUUCUGUCAGAGUUUGUAUAAAAUGUGACUAUUCCUACAAAAGAAAGUUGACAGAAUUUUUUUUUUUCCAUGACAUGGAUAAAGGAUUUUUUUCAGUGCUUAACAUUAAUGUCAAUUUUAAAUAAAUAUUACAUUAUAUUAAUGAGUAAUUUUUAUUAAUAGAGUAAAUGACUAAAA